This 997-nucleotide ribosomal RNA is filed under the name uncultured bacterium. RNAcentral's name for it is "bacterial SSU rRNA". It matches the Rfam family "Bacterial small subunit ribosomal RNA", at positions 355 to 1375 of the family's 1533-position model. The record is from RNAcentral.
UGGGGGAUAUUGCACAAUGGGGGAAACCCUGAUGCAGCGACGCCGCGUGGAGGAAGAAGGUUUUCGGAUUGUAAACUCCUGUCGUUAGGGACGAUAAUGACGGUACCUAACAAGAAAGCACCGGCUAACUACGUGCCAGCAGCCGCGGUAAAACGUAGGGUGCAAGCGUUGUCCGGAAUUACUGGGUGUAAAGGGAGCGCAGGCGGGAAGACAAGUUGGAAGUGAAAACCAUGGGCUCAACCCAUGAAUUGCUUUCAAAACUGUUUUUCUUGAGUAGUGCAGAGGUAGAUGGAAUUCCCGGUGUAGCGGUGGAAUGCGUAGAUAUCGGGAGGAACACCAGUGGCGAAGGCGGUCUACUGGGCACCAACUGGCGCUGAGGCUCGAAAGCAUGGGUAGCAAACAGGAUUAGAUACCCUGGUAGUCCAUGCCGUAAACGAUGAUUACUAGGUGUUGGGGGAUUGACCCCCUCAGUGCCGCAGUUAACACAAUAAGUAAUCCACCUGGGGAGUACGACCGCAAGGUUGAAACUCAAAGGAAUUGACGGGGGCCCGCACAAGCAGUGGAGUAUGUGGUUUAAUUCGAAGCAACGCGAAGAACCUUACCAGGUCUUGACAUCCGAUGCAUAGCACAGAGAUGUGUGAAAUCCUUCGGGACAUCGAGACAGGUGGUGCAUGGUUGUCGUCAGCUCGUGUCGUGAGAUGUUGGGUUAAGUCCCGCAACGAGCGCAACCCUUAUUGCCAGUUACUACGUUAAGAGGACUCUGGCGAGACUGCCGUUGACAAAACGGAGGAAGGUGGGGAUGACGUCAAAUCAUCAUGCCCUUUAUGACCUGGGCUACACACGUACUACAAUGGCGUUAAACAAAGAGAAGCAAGACCGCGAGGUGGAGCAAAACUCAAAAACAACGUCUCAGUUCAGAUUGCAGGCUGCAACUCGCCUGCAUGAAGUCGGAAUUGCUAGUAAUCGCGGAUCAGCAUGCCGCGGUGAAUACGUUCCC